CCGUAGCGGGUCUGAGAGGAUGAUCCGCCACACUGGACUGAGACACGGCCCAGACUCCUACGGGAGGCAGCAGUGGGGAAUUUUGGACAAUGGGCGGAAGCCUGAUCCAGCCAUGCCGCGUGAGUGAAGAAGGCCUUCGGGUUGUAAAGCUCUUUCGGUGGGGAAGAAUUGCACGGGUAAAUACCCUGUGUAGAUGACGGUACCCGACUAAGAAGCACCGGCUAACUACGUGCCAGCAGCCGCGGUAAUACGUAGGGUGCGAGCGUUAAUCGGAAUUACUGGGCGUAAAGCGUGCGCAGGCGGUUUGGUAAGUCAGAUGUGAAAUCCCCGGGCUCAACCUGGGAACUGCAUUUGAGACUGCCAAGCUGGAGUUUGGCAGAGGGGGGUGGAAUUCCACGUGUAGCAGUGAAAUGCGUAGAGAUGUGGAGGAACACCGAUGGCGAAGGCAGCCCCCCUGGGCCAAUACUGACGCUCAUGCACGAAAGCGUGGGGAGC
This 495-nucleotide ribosomal RNA is filed under the name uncultured bacterium. RNAcentral's name for it is "bacterial SSU rRNA". It matches the Rfam family "Bacterial small subunit ribosomal RNA", at positions 281 to 769 of the family's 1533-position model. The record is from RNAcentral.